This 390-nucleotide unclassified non-coding RNA is filed under the name soil metagenome. RNAcentral's name for it is "partial contains 5.8S ribosomal RNA, internal transcribed spacer 2, and large subunit ribosomal RNA". The stretch from base 1 to 120 matches the Rfam family "5.8S ribosomal RNA", at positions 35 to 154 of the family's 154-position model. The record is from RNAcentral.
GAUGAAGAACGCAGCGAAGUGCGAUAAGUAGUGUGAAUUGCAGAAUUCCGUGGAUCAUCGAAUUUUUGAACGCAAAUUGCACUCUCUGGUAUUCCGGAGAGUAUGCCUGUUUGAGGGUCAUUAAAAUCAAAAUCGAUUUGUUUACUUUGGUAACUUGGUAACAUUUUCGGAAUUGGGUCAUCUUAAACCUUCAGGUUCAAGAGGCUUAAAAUUGAUCAUUUUUUGGUAUGAAUUAAGCGUAUUUAAGAUCACUUAUCACGCGCUUGACUCCUAUCGGAUGUUUAUUAGGCGUGACCAUGAUCAUGGUUUCGCGCCCAUAAUCUUUCCAUGAAAUGACCUCAAAUCAGGUAGGAAUACCCGCUGAACUUAAGCAUAUCAAUAAGCGGAGGA